UACGUAGGGUGCGAGCGUUGUCCGGAAUUAUUGGGCGUAAAGGGCUCGUAGGCGGUUUGUCGCGUCGGGAGUGAAAUCCACUGGCUUAACUGGUGGCUUGCUUUCGAUACGGGCAGACUGGAGGUAUGCAGGGGAGAACGGAAUUCCUGGUGUAGCGGUGAAAUGCGCAGAUAUCAGGAAGAACACCGAUGGCGAAGGCAGUUCUCUGGGCCGUAACUGACGCUGAGGAGCGAAAGCGUGGGGAGCGAACAGG
This 253-nucleotide ribosomal RNA is filed under the name uncultured bacterium. RNAcentral describes it as "partial 16S ribosomal RNA". It matches the Rfam family "Bacterial small subunit ribosomal RNA", at positions 524 to 776 of the family's 1533-position model. The record is from RNAcentral.